This 65-nucleotide transfer RNA is filed under the name Arcoscalpellum epeeum. RNAcentral describes it as "tRNA-Asp". The record is from RNAcentral. Lineage: Eukaryota; Metazoa; Arthropoda; Thecostraca; Scalpellidae.
GAAAUUUUAGUUAAUAUUCAUAACUUUAUCUUGUCAAGGUAAAAUAGCUGUUUUAGCAAAUUUCU